GAUGAAGAACGCAGUGAAAUGCGAUAAGUAAUGUGAAUUGCAGAAUUCAGUGAAUCAUCGAAUCUUUGAACGCACCUUGCGCUCCUUGGCAUUCCGAGGAGCAUGCCUGUUUGAGUGUCAUUAAAUUCUCAAGACCUGUCUGCUUUUUUGAUAGGUAUUGGAUUUUGGGGGUUGCAGGCUGUUUCAAAUAAAUAGCCUUGCUCUCCUUGAAUGUAUUAGUGGAGAAAAGCCAUUGAACUCCAUUGGUGUGAUAAAACCUAUCAAUGCCAGGAGCAAUAUCACUACUUCUCUCUGCUGUCUAACUGUGACUGUCAGUAUUAAUUAGUAUGGAUGGGGACAACUUGACCAACUUGACCUCAAAUCAGGUAGGACUACCCGCUGAACUUAAGCAUAUCAAUAAGCGGAGGA
This 408-nucleotide unclassified non-coding RNA is filed under the name soil metagenome. RNAcentral describes it as "partial contains 5.8S ribosomal RNA, internal transcribed spacer 2, and large subunit ribosomal RNA". The stretch from base 1 to 120 matches the Rfam family "5.8S ribosomal RNA", at positions 35 to 154 of the family's 154-position model. The record is from RNAcentral.